CCUACGGGUGGCAGCAGUGGGGGAUAUUGCACAAUGGGGGAAACCCUGAUGCAGCGACGCCGCGUGUGGGAAGACGGUCUUCUGGAUUGUAAACCACUGUCCCCAGGGACGAAAAUGACGGUACCUGGGGAGGACGCUCCGGCUAACUACGUGCCAGCAGCCGCGGUAAUACGUAGGGAGCAAGCGUUGUCCGGAAUUACUGGGUGUAAAGGGAGCGUAGGCGGGGAUGCAAGUUGGGUGUCAAAACUACCGGCUCAACCGAUAGUCGCACUCAAAACUGCAGCUCUUGAGUGAAGUAGAGGCAGGCGGAAUUCCUAGUGUAGCGGUGAAAUGCGUAGAUAUUAGGAAGAACACCAGUGGCGAAGGCGGCUUGCUGGACUGAAACUGACGCUGAGGCACGAAAGCGUGGGGAGCGAACAGGAUUAGAUACCCGGGUAGUC
Molecule: ribosomal RNA, 440 nt
Filed under: uncultured bacterium
Lineage: Bacteria
Description: partial 16S ribosomal RNA
Rfam family: Bacterial small subunit ribosomal RNA
Source: RNAcentral